Molecule: ribosomal RNA, 483 nt
Filed under: uncultured bacterium
Lineage: Bacteria
Description: partial 16S ribosomal RNA
Rfam family: Bacterial small subunit ribosomal RNA
Source: RNAcentral
UUGCACGCUGGCGGCAGGCCUAACACCUGCAAGUCGAGCGGAUGAAGGGAGCUUGCUCCUGGAUUCAGCGGCGGACGGGUGAGUAAUGCCUAGGAAUCUGCCUGGUAGUGGGGGAUAACGUCCGGAAACGGGCGCUAAUACCGCAUACGUCCUGAGGGAGAAAGUGGGGGAUCUUCGGACCCCACGCUAUCAGAUGAGCCUAGGUCGGAUUAGCUAGUUGGUGGGGUAAAGGCCUACCAAGGCGACGAUCCGUAACUGGUCUGAGAGGAUGAUCAGUCACACUGGAACUGAGACACGGUCCAGACUCCUACGGGAGGCAGCAGUGGGGAAUAUUGGACAAUGGGCGAAAGCCUGAUCCAGCCAUGCCGCGUGUGUGAAGAAGGUCUUCGGAUUGUAAAGCACUUUAAGUUGGGAGGAAGGGCAGUAAGUUAAUACCUUGCUGUUUUGACGUUACCAACAGAAUAAGCACCGGCUAACUUCGUG